CCUCCAUCCUCCCCGCACAGGAGGGUGGACCGAGGCACCGGCGCUCUCUGCCCUGACUGCGUCGUGGCCUCUGACGGCCGCGCGGGACCGCACACCCGCGCACGGCCGGAGCAGCUCCGGGCUGCGGUGCCAGGAGGGCUGAGGGUCCCUCCCAGGCGC
Molecule: non-coding RNA, 159 nt
Filed under: Streptomyces agglomeratus
Lineage: Bacteria; Bacillati; Actinomycetota; Actinomycetes; Kitasatosporales; Streptomycetaceae
Description: Streptomyces sRNA scr5239
Rfam family: Streptomyces sRNA scr5239
About the family: It inhibits agarase DagA expression by direct base pairing to the dagA coding region, and it represses translation of methionine synthase metE (SCO0985) at the 5' end of its open reading frame.
Source: Rfam by way of RNAcentral